Pilatotrama ljubarskyi is the source of this 125-nucleotide non-coding RNA. NCBI's taxonomy places the organism in Eukaryota, Fungi, Basidiomycota, Agaricomycetes, Polyporales, Polyporaceae. The record is from the annotation of a GenBank genome assembly.
UGCCCCGUGGCUGAGUUGGUUACAGCGUCCGACUGUUACUACAUCAAUGCAGGACCUGCCUCGUGAGGUGGGUUGAGUCGUGAAGUUCCAUCGGAAGGUCGUGAGUUCGAGCCUCACCGGGGCAG